AUCCUGGCUCAGAAUCAACGCUGGCGGCGCGCUUAACACAUGCAAGUCGCACGAGAAAGGGGAGCAAUCCCUGAGUACAGUGGCGUACGGGUGAGUAACACGUGGAUGAUCUACCUUCUAGUGGGGAAUACCUCUGGGAAACCGGAGACAAUACCGCAUAAGCUCGUAAGAGGAAAGCAGCAAUGCGCUGGAAGAGGAGUCCGCGGCUGAUUAGCUAGUUGGCGGGGUAAUGGCCCACCAAGGCGAAGAUCGGUAGCCGGCCUGAGAGGGCACACGGCCACACUGGCACUGAAACACGGGCCAGACUCCUACGGGAGGCA
This 320-nucleotide ribosomal RNA is filed under the name uncultured Acidobacteriota bacterium. Its description in RNAcentral is "bacterial SSU rRNA". It matches the Rfam family "Bacterial small subunit ribosomal RNA", at positions 16 to 350 of the family's 1533-position model. Lineage: Bacteria; Pseudomonadati; Acidobacteriota. The record is from RNAcentral.